CACAGCCUCACAUGACCACUGAGCACUUGAAAUGUAGUUAAUAUGCUAAGAAAGCCCAUUUAAAUUUUUAUUUUCAACUUACUUAAAUUCAAAGAGCCACAGGGGUCUAGUGGCUCCUGUAUUGACAGCACAGGGCCACCUUGUUAGUGGCAUCAUUUAUAACCCUGGGCAGCAUUGCUAUAGGAAUAGCCAUAUCCUGUAGGUCUAUAAUGCUGUAGAAAUGGAAUGUGUGGUGCGAAUGAAAUUUAAAAUUUAAGUAGCCACGGUGAAAAAAAAAGAGAAACAAGUAAAAUUCAUUUCAUAAUAUGCUUUAUCUCUAUUUCCAAAAUAUUAUCAUCUCAACAUGUAAGAAAUAUAAGAAGUAUUCAUGAGAUAUUUUACAUUCCUUUGUUCAUCAUAAGUGUUUGAGAUCCCAUGUGUGUCUGACACAGCACCUGACUUUGAACUCACCACAUUUCGAGUGCCCCAUAGCCCAUGUGGCCAUGGUUUAGAGAUUUCAGAAAGCAUUCAUGGAAAAUUCUCUUUCCUGAUCCUCAUUCACUAUCCUGGGAAGUGGCCAGAUAAGGAAGCAAGGCCCAGAAGGGCCCAGCCAGUGGCUCUCAGACUCCAGAGUCAUCGAGUCCCUCACUCGAGGGCAGGUUAACUCACAGAUGGCUGGCCCCCACCCUCUGCAUUUGCCAUCCAGCAGGUCUGGGUGGGUACCAGGAUGCGGAUUCGUAACAGGAGAGGCUGAUGCUGCCAGUCUGGGUCCACAUUUUGAGAAGCAUUCCUCCAAGGGUCCCACCCACGCUCAUACCCCAGGUGUCCCUGAAGUUCAGGUGGGAAUCUGAAGACACUUUCCUGAUCCACGCAGGCGACUUCAGACAAUGUCCUACACUUAGCCACGGGUAAAUCAUGCUUUUAAUAUGCUCAAUGGCAGAACUGGUCAAAGCCACUCUGAGCUGCUGAGAGCACUUCAGAUUAUUUUCCACACCAGCAGGCGAUAGAAGUGGCAUUCAGGGACUGCUGUCAUUGCUGCUGAGAUCCAAGACUCCUCUUGGUGCACUGUGAUUUGCAGGGAAAGCUGUGUCUCUCUGACUUGCAGGCCAGAGGUUCUGAAGAUUGCUUGAGGUUGCAAGUACCUCCAAGCUUGAGCAGCAGUUUUGAAGUGUGGAGAUGGGAGGUGAGUUAUUCACAUCUCUAACAAAGGAGCUGCUGCUUCUGGCUUCAGGAGGGGCUGAGAGGCCCCUGAUUCACUAUCUCAUCACUGGGCUGGAAGCUCCACAGGGAUCAGUUAGGCCUGUGGGCCAUGCUUUCAGCACUUGGAGGAGAAGAUCCCUUAGACUCAGCCUUUGGCUCCAUGCCACUCUUGACAAUGUACAGGGAAGCCACUUGGACCUGAUGCUGGAGUUUAAUCAACAGACAAGGAAGAGGCCCCAGUGUGUACUGGGCAAAAGAACGGGACGGGUGUGCUGAAAAGCGUCUCAUAAACAGACUUUGUUUUCCUGUGUUUUAACUCAGCGUGAAAGUUUCUCUAGGUCUCCUCUCCUGGGGGAGAAAGGUAGCGGCUGGUUUCCUGUUCCAUUGCUUCUUUAGUAUCCUGAGAGAGAACAGCCAUGGGCACCCAGCUGCCCCAGCCUCUUCCUGUCCCAGGGCCCCGAGGCUGCCCUUCAGCGGUCUCCAGCUUCCUGCUCCUGUAAGCAGGGGCCUCUCUUUUUGGCUUUCCUGACAUUUCUCCUGACCUCUUCUGCUAGCCCUCCUGAACGCACAGUAAUAUCUGUACAUUGCAGUUGGUCCCCAGGCUGCUGCCUCUCUGUCUCUCCAUCUAAUGUUGCAUCUGUGCACUUUAGAAGUACCCGGGAGCCUUCAAAAUAUUUGGAUGCCUGGACACCACUCCAGAUAAUUCAGUCAGAGUCUCUGAAGACAGGGCCCAGGCA
Molecule: long non-coding RNA, 1916 nt
Filed under: Homo sapiens (human)
Lineage: Eukaryota; Metazoa; Chordata; Mammalia; Primates; Hominidae
Description: HSALNT0400126
Source: RNAcentral